Molecule: small nucleolar RNA, 91 nt
Organism: Andrographis paniculata
Lineage: Eukaryota; Viridiplantae; Streptophyta; Magnoliopsida; Lamiales; Acanthaceae
Product: small nucleolar RNA snoR8a
Exons: 1
Source: RefSeq, a predicted model, not a curated record
GGAAUUGCGAUGAUUAGAAGUAUAAUUCCUGGUUCUGAAUGCUGCGAUUGGCAUGACAGACUCUUCUGAACACCCAUAGAAUCUGAGCAAU